This is a long non-coding RNA of Microtus oregoni (creeping vole), 301 nucleotides long. RefSeq lists it as uncharacterized. NCBI's taxonomy places the organism in Eukaryota, Metazoa, Chordata, Mammalia, Rodentia, Cricetidae. The record is from RefSeq and is a predicted model, not a curated record. The transcript has 3 exons.
CCUAACUGACACAUUGUCAAUGCUGGACUCUGCUUCGUGUUUCAUGUCGGUGUAGCUGAGGAUGCUCUGCACAUGCCCCUUGCGGAGAAAGUGGUCUUCUUUCAACUCUGGGCUUGCUCCCUCCCCACAAUGGACUUGCCAGUUCUCAUUCACCUGCCCUCUCCAGUUACAUGAACAGAAGUCCAGGGAUGAAGGGAACAUGAGAAGGGGUUGAAGACAGAAGACCCAGGUUCAGUUUGGGGUGUGCUAUGUUAAUGGCUGCAGAGAACCUACUUGGAAGCUGCGAGAGUUUAACCCAAGC